UUAAGUGUUAGUCUCUCCCGGAUGAGCUCAUUAUGUGAUACUAGUUGGAGAAGAAAAACAAGAGAGAAUAGAAAGGCUAUGAGGAGAUAAAACCGAGUCAACCCAGUUCCUUCCUAUAGUGGGAAUUAAGUGGGAAGUACUGUUGGAGCGAAAGCUCGGUGGAGACCAUCUCAGGUCAAUUUCUCGGCGACGAGAGAACAGUUGGUGCUACAGUGCAAUGGAAAACCUAAUCUGCAGGAUAGGAUUUUUAUCUGGAGCCCAAGUACUAUAUGGAAUUCCUCAGAGAUGCUGCUAAGGCUAUUGAAAAAGGAAAGUUUCCAAGGGUGAUAGUCAAGCUCUUAAGGAAAUAAAAAAAGGUGAUGACCCAAGAGGUCUUACAACUGGUGAAAUGGCUUAUGCUCUCAACAUGGCUUGAUCUCCAACUGGAAGGCUUAUCAUCAAGAAGACAGCAAAUCCAAAAUUUUUUAUCAUCAAACUCUCUAAUGCUAGUGACUUUGCUGAAGCUAUUUACUCCAUUCUAAACAGAGUACAUGGGAAACUUCUUACUAUGCGCAUGUGGAGCAGUGAAACAAGAAUAGAGGAUAUUGACUUUGAUUCUCAUGAUUUCUGGAUCAAGUUUGAGCUUAGAGGUGACUUGGUGGAGAAGGGUUAUGUUUCUAAACAAGUUGCUGAUAAAGUGGGAAGAGUUUUCACUCUUAUUGGUCCUCUAAAUUCACAAGGAGAGUACUAAGCUCAUGUUCUUACUGAUCUUAAGAAGGUUCUUGUUCAUCAAGUUAAAAUAAUCAUUCUUGAUGGUAUGGAUAAAGAAACAAUCAAAACCAGAAUUUUCUUCAUGGUGAUCCCACGUGGUACAUGUAGGAAAUGUUGGUUGGUGGAUGGCGAUCACUCUGAGGAAAAAUAUAAACCAAGAAUCAUUGCAUACAAGAAGAACUUACCUAAGGUAUAUGUCUAUAAUGAAGAAGCUGAGGAUGAAGGAAGUGCAAAUGAGGAAAUCCAACAGCAAGAAGGACCAAAUGCUAACAGAAUGGAGUCACUGGCAACAGCAGCUGCAAGCUUUCAGAUUUACGACAAUGAAUUUGACAGAGUAGAAUACCCGACCAGAGGCAUCAAAAGGAGGAGGAUUGACAAUGAUUAUUCUUUUAAUGAGGAGGUAAAUGAGAAUUUAGGUAGUGCAAAUGUGGAUAACAUUGGAUAAGGAAGGAGAACAAGUGGAGGAAAUACUAUAGUCUUAGAAGGAGGAAAUACUAUAGUGAUCAAAAUACUGAAGAGAUAAGAAGAGCUCCAAAAGGGAAGGCUCCAAUGAUUGAAGAGGGUAGAAACUCUAAGAAAGAAAAGCAGAAGAAAAAGAAAGCAAAUUGGUUCAGACUCUUAAGUCAGUAUGCAGUUAUGGGUAGAAGGAAGAGUUUGGUAAUCAAUGAGCCAAGUGAAGAAUUGGAUAAGAAUUGGCAGAUGGUAAAUAAUGAGAAAAUCAACAUUCCAAUUCAAGUUGCUGAAGAAGUUCUUAAUGAAACAAGCAACAUCAGAGGAAUUGGUGAGGCACUGAUUCAUCUUUCAAACUAAAGUAAUCUAAAUAUGGCAGAAUUGAAGAAAUAGCCUGUAAUGAUGAGGAGAAUGCUAUUUGCUGGGGUAUAAUUGAGGCAGAAAAGAGCAUCAAAGCAAUUACUUAGAUGGUAACUACUGAAGAUCCAACUGGCAUCACUUUCCUAUGGAUUGCAACAUAGUUGAUGAGGUAACCCUAUUUCAUAAUUUUUACUAUAAAAUCACCCUCAAAAUCUGUUUGAAUAAAUAUGUCAGGUCAUUCUAU
Molecule: long non-coding RNA, 1804 nt
Organism: Papaver somniferum (opium poppy)
Lineage: Eukaryota; Viridiplantae; Streptophyta; Magnoliopsida; Ranunculales; Papaveraceae
Exons: 3
Source: RefSeq, a predicted model, not a curated record